RNAcentral lists this ribosomal RNA (257 nucleotides) under uncultured bacterium. RNAcentral's name for it is "partial 16S ribosomal RNA". It matches the Rfam family "Bacterial small subunit ribosomal RNA", at positions 524 to 776 of the family's 1533-position model. The record is from RNAcentral.
UACGUAGGAGGCAAGCGUUGUCCGGAAUUACUGGGCGUAAAGCGCGUGUAGGUGGUGGGACAAGUCUGCUGUGAAAGCGCCUGGCUUAACCGGGCGAGGUCGGCGGAAACUGUCCGAGCUCGAGGACGGGUAGAGGGGGUCGGAAUUCCCGGUGUAGUGGUAGAAAUGCGUAGAUAGUCGGGAGGAACAUCAGUGGCGCAAGCGGCGCCCUGGCCUUAGCCUGACGCUCAGGGGCGAAAGCGUGGGGAGCGAACGGG